UGGUAUUGGCUUAAUCAUCCAGGCUAAUGGGACCGUGGCUACAGCAAUGACUCAUCACGACGCUGCAUCUAGGGAGUGUAGAAAAAGCCAACUCUCUAUGCCUUUUUCUCGCUAAAGAUACAGCCCCUUGAAGACCUCCGCAGGCAUCCUCUCAGAUCUCCUCAGCUGGCACUGGGUCGCACACCAGCUUCUGGAUGAGAUCCCCCAGAGCAGAGAGCUCCUCUCCAGGCACGUGACUCUGUGGAAGGGAGCUCUGUUGCAGACUCAGGAGGCCAGCCAGGGCUCACCACAACUGGUCACAGGUCUACUGAGUACAGGGGAAUGGGUUGAUUUCCUCCAUGGAGCUGUGCGUCUUUCCCUAUAGCAAUGCUGGCUAACUGCAAGGCUCAAGCUCAAGGAUUGUCUCUGAGGAUCAUCUACUUCUGAGGUUCCCAACUGAAGUUUUCCCUAAUAAUGGUUGGAGACUACUUGGGUUGUGGCAACUGGGGGUGGCGGUCUGGCUCUCUGGGGCCUUUUUGUAGUUUAUGGGAAACCGGCUCCACUCAUUGCUGUGUAGCAACCACAGGAAGUAAAAUGGGGCUGUGUGCAGAGCUGGUUCUUCUAGUAGCCUCUCCAGUGGAGGUGGGAAGGUAA
This 633-nucleotide long non-coding RNA is filed under the name Mus spicilegus (steppe mouse). RNAcentral describes it as "lncRNA (ENSMSIG00000025129.1)". The record is from RNAcentral. Lineage: Eukaryota; Metazoa; Chordata; Mammalia; Rodentia; Muridae.